GAGACAGCAGCCGCCGCGGGAAUGCGAGGGGUGCAAGCGUUAUUCGGAUUGAUUGGGUGUAAAGGGUGUGCAGACGGCUUAUUAAGUCACUUGUUAAAUUCUUCGGCCUAACUGAAGGUCUGCAAGUGAUACUGAUGAGCUAGAGGGUGGAAGAGAGAAGUGGAAUUCUCGGAGUAGCGGUAAAAUGCGUAGAUCUCGAGAGGAACACCAGUGGCGAAGGCGACUUUCUGGACGAAAACUGACGCUGAGGCGCGAAAGCCAGGGGAGCGAACGGGAUUAGAUACCCGCGUAGUCCCUGUCUCUUAUAC
This 308-nucleotide ribosomal RNA is filed under the name uncultured bacterium. RNAcentral's name for it is "partial 16S ribosomal RNA". It matches the Rfam family "Bacterial small subunit ribosomal RNA", at positions 505 to 807 of the family's 1533-position model. The record is from RNAcentral.